This 25-nucleotide transfer RNA is filed under the name Doodia aspera. Its description in RNAcentral is "partial tRNA-Phe". RNAcentral also lists the same sequence under 2 other names. The record is from RNAcentral. Lineage: Eukaryota; Viridiplantae; Streptophyta; Polypodiopsida; Polypodiales; Blechnaceae.
GCCGAGAUAGCUCAGUCGGUAGAGC